RNAcentral lists this ribosomal RNA (496 nucleotides) under uncultured bacterium. Its description in RNAcentral is "partial 16S ribosomal RNA". It matches the Rfam family "Bacterial small subunit ribosomal RNA", at positions 29 to 507 of the family's 1533-position model. The record is from RNAcentral.
AUGCACGCUGGCGGCGUGCCUAAUACAUGCAAGUCGAGCGAACAGACGAGGAGCUUGCUCCUCUGACGUUAGCGGCGGACGGGUGAGUAACACGUGGAUAACCUACCUAUAAGACUGGGAUAACUUCGGGAAACCGGAGCUAAUACCGGAUAAUAUAUUGAACCGCAUGGUUCAAUAGUGAAAGACGGUUUUGCUGUCACUUAUAGAUGGAUCCGCGCCGCAUUAGCUAGUUGGUAAGGUAACGGCUUACCAAGGCAACGAUGCGUAGCCGACCUGAGAGGGUGAUCGGCCACACUGGAACUGAGACACGGUCCAGACUCCUACGGGAGGCAGCAGUAGGGAAUCUUCCGCAAUGGGCGAAAGCCUGACGGAGCAACGCCGCGUGAGUGAUGAAGGUCUUCGGAUCGUAAAACUCUAUUAUUAGGGAAGAACAAAUGUGUAAGUAACUAUGCACGUCUUGACGGUACCUAAUCAGAAAGCCACGGCUAACUACGUG